This 350-nucleotide ribosomal RNA is filed under the name uncultured bacterium. Its description in RNAcentral is "bacterial SSU rRNA". It matches the Rfam family "Bacterial small subunit ribosomal RNA", at positions 917 to 1264 of the family's 1533-position model. The record is from RNAcentral.
GGGCCCGCACAAGCAGUGGAGCAUGUGGUUUAAUUCGAUGAUACGCGAAGAACCUUACCUGGGCUCUAAUGCGAGUGACCGCUCCUGAAAGGGGAGCUUUUCCCUUCGGGGACACGAAGCAAGGUGCUGCAUGGUUGUCGUCAGCUCGUGCCGUGAGUGUUGGGUUAAGUCCCGCAACGAGCGCAACCCCCGUAUCUUUAGUUGCCAGCGAUUCGGUCGGGGACUCUAGAGAGACUGCCUGCGCAAGCAGAGAGGAAGGCGGGGGACGACGUCAAAUCAUCAUGGCCUUUAUGCCCAGGGCUACACACGUGCUACAAUGGUAGGUACAGACGGUGCGAACUCGCGAGAGU